This 446-nucleotide ribosomal RNA is filed under the name uncultured bacterium. RNAcentral describes it as "partial 16S ribosomal RNA". It matches the Rfam family "Bacterial small subunit ribosomal RNA", at positions 329 to 792 of the family's 1533-position model. The record is from RNAcentral.
UGCCAGACUCCUACGGGAGGCAGCAGUGGGGGAUAUUGCACAAUGGGGGAAACCCUGAUGCAGCGACGCCGCGUGGGUGAAGAAGUAUUUCGGUAUGUAAAGCUCUAUCAGCAGGGAAGAAAAUGACGGUACCUGACUAAGAAGCCCCGGCUAACUACGUGCCAGCAGCCGCGGUAAUACGUAGGGGGCAAGCGUUAUCCGGAUUUACUGGGUGUAAAGGGAGCGUAGACGGUGAUGCAAGUCAGAAGUGAAAGCCCGCGGCUCAACUGCGGGACUGCUUUUGAAACUGUAUGACUGGAGUGCAGGAGAGGUAAGCGGAAUUCCUAGUGUAGCGGUGAAAUGCGUAGAUAUUAGGAGGAACACCAGUGGCGAAGGCGGCUUACUGGACUGUAACUGACGUUGAGGCUCGAAAGCGUGGGGAGCAAACAGGAUUAGAUCCCCGAGUA